AUGGCACGGCAGCAGGGGCCGGCGGCGCGGCGUCGUGGCGGCGUCCUCUGGCCUCUGCGCUGCUGCUUAGCAGCAGGCCGUAGCAGGCGAGCAGCGUCGCCUUGUCCCGUUCUUCCGCACACCCCUACAGCAACACCCCGACAGUUUAAUCUGGAUGCUGAAGCAAUGAGUACCUGCAAAAUGGCAACGGGGGAAGCUACAUCUGUUCCAGAUAGACUGAGCAGUCUACCUCCAGAGAUAAAGGGCAACAUCCUCUCCCGUUUGAAUAUCGUAGAAGCGGUUAGGACUUGCACCUUAUCAAGUACAUGGAGGGAUGCAUGGACUGAUAUGCCAAAAAUAUCUCUUCGCGAUGGGAAAUUUACACGAACUAAGUUCGUUACGUUGGUUGAUACGGUGCUAUCACUCCACAAGGGAACUAUAGAACAGUUUGAUAUUUCGGGUAGUGAAAGCUAUCAUGAUGAGUUCCCUAGGUGGAUGCUCAUGCUUUCAAGCAGAUCCACAAGAUCAAUUAUAAUUGAGUUUAACUCAAGGCCAAGGUAUAGGUUACCAUCGUGCAUCUUUUCUAUCAGCCAUCUGAAGUCUCUGCACCUAGAAAACUGCACCAUCAGCUUGCCCCGGGUAUUCCAAGGUUUCAGUUUGAAGAGCCUAACUGACCUAAGCCUCAAAAUUUUCUCCUCCACAAACAUGGAUAUCCAAAAUCUCAUCUCAUUCUGCCCUGUACUGACCAAUUUGAUAUUAAAUUAUUUUGAGGGCAUCAACCGUCUAAACAUUCAGGCUCCUGAGUUGCUGGGGACUUUGAAGACAUUGAUUUGGAUGCCCCUAAUCUGA
RNAcentral lists this ribosomal RNA (828 nucleotides) under Triticum aestivum (bread wheat). Its description in RNAcentral is "partial small subunit ribosomal RNA". The record is from RNAcentral. Lineage: Eukaryota; Viridiplantae; Streptophyta; Magnoliopsida; Poales; Poaceae.